UCACUCUGGAGAAGCUCAUGAACUGUGGGUGCCGAAGGUGCAAAGCGGCGCGGCGACGCGCUGCCAAUCUCUCAGGCAAAAGGACAGAGGACG
RNAcentral lists this non-coding RNA (93 nucleotides) under uncultured Flavonifractor sp. RNAcentral describes it as "Glycine riboswitch". It matches the Rfam family "Glycine riboswitch aptamer", at positions 9 to 86 of the family's 94-position model. Rfam says of the family: This family represents the bacterial glycine riboswitch. Glycine riboswitches usually consist of two metabolite-binding aptamers domains with similar structures in tandem. The record is from RNAcentral. Lineage: Bacteria; Bacillati; Bacillota; Clostridia; Eubacteriales; Oscillospiraceae.